AUUGAACGCUGGCGGCAGGCUUAACACAUGCAAGUCGAGCGGAGACUUCGGUCUUAGCGGCGAACGGGUGAGGAAUGCCUGGGAAUCUGCCUGUUAGUGGGGGAUAACGUUCCGAAAGGAGCGCUAAUACCGCAUACGUCCUACGGGAGAAAGCAGGGGACCUUCGGGCCUUGCGCUAACAGAUGAGCCCAGGUCGGAUUAGCUAGUUGGUGGGGUAAAGGCUCACCAAGGCGACGAUCCGUAGCUGGUCUGAGAGGAUGAUCAGCCACACUGGAACUGAGACACGGUCCAGACUCCUACGGGAGGCAGCAGUGGGGAAUAUUGGACAAUGGGCGAAAGCCUGAUCCAGCCAUGCCGCGUGUGUGAAGAAGGCCUUCGGGUUGGUUAAAGGAC
RNAcentral lists this ribosomal RNA (393 nucleotides) under uncultured bacterium. RNAcentral's name for it is "bacterial SSU rRNA". It matches the Rfam family "Bacterial small subunit ribosomal RNA", at positions 30 to 433 of the family's 1533-position model. The record is from RNAcentral.